Mycena galopus ATCC 62051 is the source of this 113-nucleotide non-coding RNA. Lineage: Eukaryota; Fungi; Basidiomycota; Agaricomycetes; Agaricales; Mycenaceae. The record is from the annotation of a GenBank genome assembly.
GGGCAAAUAGUGUAGUUGGUUAUCGCGCCCGCUUCGCAAUUGUUGCGUAAUCAUCUGAGAUUAUGUAACUCUGGGAAUGCGGGAGGUGCUGGGUUCAAUUCCCAGUUUGUCCA